Molecule: ribosomal RNA, 24 nt
Filed under: Trametes versicolor
Lineage: Eukaryota; Fungi; Basidiomycota; Agaricomycetes; Polyporales; Polyporaceae
Description: partial 18S ribosomal RNA
Source: RNAcentral
CCUUCCCGUAGGGUGAACCUGCGG